Molecule: ribosomal RNA, 468 nt
Filed under: uncultured bacterium
Lineage: Bacteria
Description: partial 16S ribosomal RNA
Rfam family: Bacterial small subunit ribosomal RNA
Source: RNAcentral
GACGAACGCUGGCGGCGUGCUUAACACAUGCAAGUCGAACGGAAAGGCCCUGCGUUUGUGUGGUUCUCGAUUGGCGAACGGGUGAGUAACACGUGAGUAACCUGCCCUUGACUUUGGGAUAACUUCAGGGAACUGGGGCUAAUACCGGGUAUGAGCUCCUGCUGCAUAUUGGGGGUUGGUAAGUGUCGGCGGUUGGGGAUGGACUCGCGGCUUAUCAGCUGGUAGGUGGGGUAGGGGCUGACCAGGGCUUUGAGGGGUAGCCGGCCUGAGAGGGUGACCGGCCACAUUGGGACUGAGAUACGGAGCAGAAUGGUACGGGAGGCAGUAGUCGGGAAUAUUGCACAAUGGGCGGAAGCCUGAUGCAGCAACGCUGCGUGCGGGAUGACGGGCUACGGGUUGUAAACAGAUUUCGACUGUGAUGAAGCGUGAGUGACGGUACUGGGUCAAGAAGCACCGGCUAACUACGUG